This 544-nucleotide long non-coding RNA is filed under the name Mytilus galloprovincialis (Mediterranean mussel). The record is from RNAcentral. Lineage: Eukaryota; Metazoa; Mollusca; Bivalvia; Mytilida; Mytilidae.
AAUUUAUAAAACUAAAAGUAAAAAUAUUACUUGUUACAAGAAUAAAGACCAUGUUUUCAGUGUCAUGAGUUUCAGUCAUCAUAUUUGUUGGACUUUGUUGUUUAAAAGUUUUUUGUGGUAAUAAGAUAUAGCAAACAGGAAGUCAUCGUCAGAAUACUUCCUUUUUUGGUGGGAAUCUUGAAGGUACAGUAGCUAUGAAAUAGAAGAGUUUGCUCAAGUUUAAGACUAUAAUUGGGACACACAAACUGCUUUGUAUUUUCAGAUAUAAUAUAGAUGAAUAGAAUCAAUAUAGUUAUAAGAAAAAUCUGAUUAGCCUGCUAGCAUUCUAAAUUUAGAAUGUAAAUAAGCCCAAAAUAAAAAUGACCAUGAAAGGGAAGAAAACAUUAUUUUGCUGUUAAUAUUUAUUUAACUGUGUUUUCAUACACCUAAUUUAUCUAAUUUGCAAACACUUUUACUCUCAAUGUUUUGCAUGCAUGUUCUCAACAAUGAUCAAUGAUGAUGUCAAGAAAACAUUCUUGUUAAAGAGAAGGAUGAAGCUAGAAAC